This is a long non-coding RNA of Mastomys coucha (southern multimammate mouse), 867 nucleotides long. RefSeq lists it as uncharacterized. Lineage: Eukaryota; Metazoa; Chordata; Mammalia; Rodentia; Muridae. The record is from RefSeq and is a predicted model, not a curated record. The transcript has 3 exons.
UCUGAAACUUAACCACUUAUCUCUGCACGUGUGACAUUAGUCGGCAGCAAACAUUCAUAAACACAAAGGUUUGGGAGUCUCUGCAAAAUCUCUUCCCCCUUCUCCUAGGUACCUGAAGAUCAGUGACUAGAGAACAGGUCAAAAUGGUGGCAUCAUUCACUUACGUGAAGCCAGAGUAGCGCUUGCUCCUGCACAGUGGAGGGAUAUCCUGUAAACCGACAACUAAUAAAGCCGAACAUCUCUUCCAUUGAAAACGGCAGAGGACACAGCUCUAUGUCAAACAUUUUGCUGGAAAGCAGAGCAACAAAAAGAGAAACACACCAAAGAACUUCUGGUGGUGUUCCAGCAGCUUCUUGCAGCUUUCUCUGAUUCAGGCCUAUUGGCAGAGCCUCACGGUGUCUUGUGGCUUGAACUGUUUAUUGCUGGUUCAUGAGUGAACGGUGUUUGCGAGUAGAACGAGCUACCGCUGCUGAUUCAUGACCCACUUUGGGAAGAGAGAGGUUCUACUAACGACACAUCUACUAACGACACUCUCACAGAGUCAUAUCAGACUGCUCUUCUACCCCACUCUAAGAGAAAUAACAGGAAGCAUGCAAGCACUUCCUGUUCCAGCAACUCAAAACUGCCCUACAUGUAAAGAUGAAAUUUUACGAAGGAGUCAGUAGGUGGCAGCAAAGAAGAGAGGACCAUCUCCUAUCUCCAUAACUGCUCAGCCUCUGAAUCCUGGAGUCACAGACAUUCCUGCCGACGGUCUGUAUUCUGGGUUAACCUCAAAUAUCUCAUAUCAGUGCAGUUUUAAACUGAAAAUUACCUCAAUGUCUUUUUGAAAGAAGAAAAAUUACAAAUAAAAAUAAAACCUAGAAAAUA